RNAcentral lists this ribosomal RNA (1462 nucleotides) under Bacillus tequilensis. Its description in RNAcentral is "bacterial SSU rRNA". It matches the Rfam family "Bacterial small subunit ribosomal RNA". The record is from RNAcentral. Lineage: Bacteria; Bacillati; Bacillota; Bacilli; Caryophanales; Bacillaceae.
GCUAUACAUGCAGUCGAGCGGACAGAUGGGAGCUUGCUCCCUGAUGUUAGCGGCGGACGGGUGAGUAACACGUGGGUAACCUGCCUGUAAGACUGGGAUAACUCCGGGAAACCGGGGCUAAUACCGGAUGGUUGUUUGAACCGCAUGGUUCAAACAUAAAAGGUGGCUUCGGCUACCACUUACAGAUGGACCCGCGGCGCAUUAGCUAGUUGGUGAGGUAACGGCUCACCAAGGCAACGAUGCGUAGCCGACCUGAGAGGGUGAUCGGCCACACUGGGACUGAGACACGGCCCAGACUCCUACGGGAGGCAGCAGUAGGGAAUCUUCCGCAAUGGACGAAAGUCUGACGGAGCAACGCCGCGUGAGUGAUGAAGGUUUUCGGAUCGUAAAGCUCUGUUGUUAGGGAAGAACAAGUACCGUUCGAAUAGGGCGGUACCUUGACGGUACCUAACCAGAAAGCCACGGCUAACUACGUGCCAGCAGCCGCGGUAAUACGUAGGUGGCAAGCGUUGUCCGGAAUUAUUGGGCGUAAAGGGCUCGCAGGCGGUUUCUUAAGUCUGAUGUGAAAGCCCCCGGCUCAACCGGGGAGGGUCAUUGGAAACUGGGGAACUUGAGUGCAGAAGAGGAGAGUGGAAUUCCACGUGUAGCGGUGAAAUGCGUAGAGAUGUGGAGGAACACCAGUGGCGAAGGCGACUCUCUGGUCUGUAACUGACGCUGAGGAGCGAAAGCGUGGGGAGCGAACAGGAUUAGAUACCCUGGUAGUCCACGCCGUAAACGAUGAGUGCUAAGUGUUAGGGGGUUUCCGCCCCUUAGUGCUGCAGCUAACGCAUUAAGCACUCCGCCUGGGGAGUACGGUCGCAAGACUGAAACUCAAAGGAAUUGACGGGAGCCCGCACAAUCGGUGGAGCAUGUGGUUUAAUUCGAAGCAACGCGAAGAACCUUACCAGGUCUUGACAUCCUCUGACAAUCCUAGAGAUAGGACGUCCCCUUCGGGGGCAGAGUGACAGGUGGUGCAUGGUUGUCGUCAGCUCGUGUCGUGAGAUGUUGGGUUAAGUCCCGCAACGAGCGCAACCCUUGAUCUUAGUUGCCAGCAUUCAGUUGGGCACUCUAAGGUGACUGCCGGUGACAAACCGGAGGAAGGUGGGGAUGACGUCAAAUCAUCAUGCCCCUUAUGACCUGGGCUACACACGUGCUACAAUGGACAGAACAAAGGGCAGCGAAACCGCGAGGUUAAGCCAAUCCCACAAAUCUGUUCUCAGUUCGGAUCGCAGUCUGCAACUCGACUGCGUGAAGCUGGAAUCGCUAGUAAUCGCGGAUCAGCAUGCCGCGGUGAAUACGUUCCCGGGCCUUGUACACACCGCCCGUCACACCACGAGAGUUUGUAACACCCGAAGUCGGUGAGGUAACCUUUUAGGAGCCAGCCGCCGAAGGUGGGACAGAUGAUUGGGGUGAAGUCGUAACA